GUGCUUGCUUCGGCAGCACAUAUGUGCUAAAAUUGGAACGAUACAGAGAAGAUAGCAGGCCCCUGCACAAGGAUGACACACAAAUUCAUGAAGCAUUCCAUAUUUUU
Chlorocebus sabaeus (green monkey) is the source of this 107-nucleotide small nuclear RNA. The record is from Ensembl. Lineage: Eukaryota; Metazoa; Chordata; Mammalia; Primates; Cercopithecidae.